UCAAGUUAUUAAGGGUGCAGGGCGGAUGCCUUGGCACUAGGAGCCGAUGAAGGACGCGUGAUAAGCUGCGAUAAGCUUCGGGGAGUUGCACGUAAACUUUGAUCCGAAGAUUUCCGAAUGAGGAAACUCACUUAGAGUAAUGUCUAAGUAUCAUUAAGUGAAUACAUAGCUUAAUGAGGGGAACUCAGGGAACUGAAACAUCUAAGUACCUGAAGGAAGAGAAAGAAAUUCGAUUCCGUAAGUAGCGGCGAGCGAACGCGGAUUAGCCCAAACCAAUAAAGUUUUCUUUAUUGGGGUUGCGGACAUAUCAUAACGAAGAGGUAUCGUAAUUGAAGAGGUUUGGAAAGACCCACCACAGAAGGUAAUAGUCCUGUAUGUUAAACGAGAAGACUUUAGAUAUGAUCCAGAGUACCACGGGACACGUGAAACCCUGUGGGAAGCAGGAGGGACCACCCUCCAAGGCUAAAUACUACCUAGUGACCGAUAGCGUAUAGUACCGUGAGGGAAAGGUGAAAAGAACCCCGGGAGGGGAGUGAAAUAGAACCUGAAACCCUGCACUUACAAGCUGUGGAAGCACAUUUCUUGUGUGACCGCGUACUUUUUGUAGAACGGGCCAACGAGUUACGUUAAGUAGCAAGGUUAAGCACUUAAGGUGCGGAGCCGUAGCGAAAGCGAGUUUUAACUGAGCGUUCAGUUACUUGACGUAGACCCGAAACCGGGCGACCUACCCAUGAGCAGGAUGAAGCGAAAGUAAAAUUUCGUGGAGGUCCGAACCCACGAGCGUUGAAAAGCUCGGGGAUGACUUGUGGGUAGCGGUGAAAUUCCAAUCGAGCCCGGAGAUAGCUGGUUCUCCCCGAAAUAGCUUUAGGGCUAGCCUCAAGGUGAGAGAUACGGAGGUAGAGCACUGAAUGUCCUAGGGGGUAUUGCACCUACCGAAGACUAUCAAACUCCGAAUGCCGUCAUCUUAUACUUGGGAGUCAGACUGUGGGUGAUAAGAUUCAUAGUCGAAAGGGCAACAGCCCAGAUCGUCAGCUAAGGUCCCUAAAUGUAAGUUAAGUGGUAAAGGAUGUGGGAUUGCACAGACAACCAGGAUGUUGGCUUAGAAGCAGCCACUCAUUCAAAGAGUGCGUAAUAGCUCACUGGUCGAGUGAUCCUGCGCCGAAGAUUUCCGGGGCUAAAACUUACUACCGAAGCUACGGCAUCAGUAAUGAUGGGUAGGGGAGCUUCCCAUACGGGUUGAAGCAUGACCGUAAGGACAUGUGGACAGUAUGGGAGUGAGAAUGUUGGCAUGAGUAGCGAGAUGUGGGUGAGAAUCCCACAGGCCGUAAACCCAAGGUUUCCAGGGGAAGGUUCGUCCGCCCUGGGUUAGUCGGGACCUAAGCUGAGGCCGAAAGGCGUAGGUGAUGGACAACAGGUUGAUAUUCCUGUACUACCGAUAACCGUUUGAGAGAAGGGAUGACACAGUAGGAUAAGCUAAGCACACUGUUGGUUAUGUGUGCCCAAGCAUUGAGGCAGUCAAAGUAGGCAAAUCCGCUUUGAUAAUGCUGGGAUGUGAUGGGGAGCGAAAUUUAGUAGCGAAGUAGCUGAUUUCACACUGUCAAGAAAAGUCUCUAUCGAGGUUAAAGGUACCCGUACCGCAAACCGACACAGGUGGGUGAGGAGAGUAUCCUAAGGCCAGCGAGAGAACUGUUGUUAAGGAACUCGGCAAAAUGACCCCGUAACUUAGGGAUAAGGGGUGCCACCAUCAGGUGGCCGCAGAGAAUAGGCCCAAGCGACUGUUUACCAAAAACAUAGGUUUCUGCUAAGUCGCAAGACGAUGUAUAGGAGCUGACGCCUGCCCGGUGCUGGAAGGUUAAGGGGAUCUGUUAGAGCAAUCGAAGCAGUGAACUUAAGCCCCAGUAAACGGCGGCCGUAACUAUAACGGUCCUAAGGUAGCGAAAUUCCUUGUCGGGUAAGUUCCGACCCGCACGAAAGGCGUAACGAUUUGGGCACUGUCUCAACAACAGACUCGGUGAAAUUGUAAUUCCGGUGAAGAUGCCGGAUACCUGCGACAGGACGGAAAGACCCCAUGGAGCUUUACUGUAGCUUGACAUUGGGUCUUGGUACUACAUGUACAGGAUAGGUGGGAGGCUUUGAAACCAGGACGCCAGUUUUGGCGGAGCCAUCCUUGGGAUACCACCCUUGUAGUACUGGGACUCUAACCAUAGGCCAUGAAUCUGGUCUUGGGACACUGUCAGGUGGGCAGUUUGACUGGGGCGGUCGCCUCCCAAAAGGUAACGGAGGCGCUCAAAGGUUCUCUCAGUACGGUCGGAAAUCGUACGUAGAGUGUAAAGGCAAAAGAGAGCUUGAUUGCAAGACAUACAGGUCGAGCAAGGAUGAAAAUCGGACUUAGUGAUCCGGUGGUUCUGCGUGGAAGGGCCAUCGCUCAACGGAUAAAAGCUACCCUGGGGAUAACAGGCUUAUCUCCCCCAAGAGUCCACAUCGACGGGGAGGUUUGGCACCUCGAUGUCGGCUCAUCACAUCCUGGGGCUGUAGUAGGUCCCAAGGGUUGGGCUGUUCGCCCAUUAAAGUGGUACGCGAGCUGGGUUCAGAACGUCGUGAGACAGUUCGGUCCCUAUCCGUCGCAGGCGUAGGAAAUUUGAGAAGACCUGUCCUUAGUACGAGAGGACCGGGAUGGACGUACCUCUGGUGUACCAGUUGUCCUGCCAAGGGCAUGGCUGGGUAGCUAUGUACGGAAUGGAUAAGCGCUGAAAGCAUCUAAGCGCGAAGCCAACUUCAAGAUAAGAUUUCCCACCGCAAGGGUAAGACCCCAGAAAGACUAUCUGGUUGAUAGGUCGAAGGUGUAAGUGCAGCAAUGUAUUUAGCUUAUCGAUACUAAUAGGUCGAGGACUUGACCAA
This 2898-nucleotide ribosomal RNA is filed under the name Clostridioides difficile. RNAcentral describes it as "bacterial LSU rRNA". It matches the Rfam family "Bacterial large subunit ribosomal RNA". Lineage: Bacteria; Bacillati; Bacillota; Clostridia; Peptostreptococcales; Peptostreptococcaceae. The record is from RNAcentral.